This 256-nucleotide ribosomal RNA is filed under the name uncultured bacterium. Its description in RNAcentral is "partial 16S ribosomal RNA". It matches the Rfam family "Bacterial small subunit ribosomal RNA", at positions 524 to 776 of the family's 1533-position model. The record is from RNAcentral.
UACGGGGGGAGCAAGCGUUGUUCGGAUUUACUGGGCGUAAAGGGGCGCGUAGGCGGUCAGCACAAGUCAGUUGUGAAAUCUCCGAGCUUAACUCGGAAAGGUCAACUGAUACUGUGCGACUAGAGUGCAGAAGGGGCAACUGGAAUUCUUGGUGUAGCGGUGAAAUGCGCAGAUAUCAGGAGGAACACCUAUUGCGAAGGCAGCUCGCUGGGACGUAACUGACGCUGAGACGCGAAAGCGUGGGGGAGCGAACAGG